CGCCUAAAACAUGCAAGUCGAGUGGGUUUAGACCCACGGCGAACGGCUGAGUAACACAUGGGUACCUACCUCGAACUCAGGGAUAUCCCGCCGAAAGGCGGAGUAAUACCGGAUAGUCCCGCAAGGGUAAAGAUUUAUCGGUUCGAGAGGGGCCUGUGCCCUAUCAGUUAGUUGGUAAGGUAACGGCUUACCAAGACUAUGACGGGUAACUGGUCUGAGAGGACGGCCAGUCAGAAUGGAACUGAGACACGGUCCAUACUCCUACGGGAGGCAGCAGUUAGGAAUCCUCCGCAAUGGGCGAAAGCCUGACGGAGCGACACCGCGUGGUGGAUGAAGGCCUUUACGGUCGUAAACACC
Molecule: ribosomal RNA, 357 nt
Filed under: uncultured organism
Description: bacterial SSU rRNA
Rfam family: Bacterial small subunit ribosomal RNA
Source: RNAcentral